Molecule: transfer RNA, 52 nt
Filed under: Micronychus sp. UPOL MT0055
Lineage: Eukaryota; Metazoa; Arthropoda; Insecta; Coleoptera; Lycidae
Description: partial tRNA-Ser
Source: RNAcentral
AAAGAAANNAAAAAGAAGCCUAUAACUUCUUAAAGAGCAAAUUAUUGUACAU